Molecule: small nuclear RNA, 204 nt
Organism: Anastrepha ludens (Mexican fruit fly)
Lineage: Eukaryota; Metazoa; Arthropoda; Insecta; Diptera; Tephritidae
Product: U2 spliceosomal RNA
Exons: 1
Source: RefSeq, a predicted model, not a curated record
UUUAUUAGAAAAUCUAUUGACUAGGUAGUGUGGUAUCUGUUCUUAUCAGCUUAACAUCUGAUAGAUCCUCCAUCGGAGUCCAUCGGAGAACAACAAAUGUUAAACUGAUUUUUGGAAAUGGGCGGAGUGAUUUAGGGGCUUGCUCCACCUCUGGCACGGGUUGGCCCGGUAUUGCAGUACCGCCGGGAUUUCGGCAUUGAAUAA